This 208-nucleotide microRNA precursor is filed under the name Oryza glumipatula. Its description in RNAcentral is "MIR812 microRNA precursor family". It matches the Rfam family "MIR812 microRNA precursor family". Lineage: Eukaryota; Viridiplantae; Streptophyta; Magnoliopsida; Poales; Poaceae. The record is from Rfam by way of RNAcentral.
AAUAAGUGUAGUUUUGCACUAUUCACGUUCAACGUUUGACCGUUCGUCUUAUUUAAAAUUUUUUUAUGAUUAGUAUUUUUAUUGCUAUUAGAUGAUAAAACAUGAAUAGUACUUUAUGAGUGACUAAAUAUUUUUAAAUUUUUUAUAAAUUUUUCAAAUAAGACGGAUGGUCAAACGUUGGGCACGGAUAUCCACGGCUGCACUUAUU